UACGUAGGGAGCAAGCGUUGUCCGGAAUCAUUGGGCGUAAAGCGCGCGUAGGCGGCCCGGUAAGUCCGCUGUGAAAGUCAACGGCUCAACUGUUGGAUGCCGGUGGAUACUGUCGGGCUAGAGUACGGAAGAGGCAAGUGGAAUUCCUGGUGUAGCGGUGGAAUGCGCAGAUAUCAGGAGGAACACCUAUAGCGAAGGCAGCUUGCUGGGACGUUACUGACGCUAAGGCGCGAAAGCGUGGGGAGCGAACAGG
RNAcentral lists this ribosomal RNA (253 nucleotides) under uncultured bacterium. RNAcentral describes it as "partial 16S ribosomal RNA". It matches the Rfam family "Bacterial small subunit ribosomal RNA", at positions 524 to 776 of the family's 1533-position model. The record is from RNAcentral.